ACUGGAAGAACUUGUCCCCAGUGUUGCUACCUUGACUUGAGGCUGCCACCACUCUGCACCUAUAGAAUCAUACAAGAAGAGCUGGAACCUUCUGUGUGUUCUGUGUGGUUCUUUGCAGCAGCUCUUUGUUUAAGUGGGGGGGGGGGAUGGGCGCGGCCACUCUGCACUCCGCCUCUCUGGGUGGCUGGAUCCGAAUCUUCUGCCAGAGUCAUCGCGGCCGGUGGAGGUUGAGUCAGAGGACCGGGGUGGGCGAGGAAGGCUCGGAGUGUCCUGGUGGGCGAGGGCAGGAGGGGGCGGGACUCCCACAAUCGAAUAAAAAAACAAAAAACAAAAAACAAAAAACAAAAAAAGAAAACAAAACAAAAAACAAACAAACAAACAAAAAACCGCAUGGCCCCGAACCGGGACAGCAGCGCUGAGCAGCUCCGGCUGCUGCCACCUCGAGCAUCUGAAUCCUCUUCCGCCGUGGGAGCGAGACGCCGUAGCCGCGUCUGCCCCUAGGCGCCUCCAUCUGGGCGCCACGUCCUCGUGCUUGGGCGUGCUCCUGCGGGGCCGGGUGGAAAUCCGUGCCAACGACCAGGGCAACCGCACCGUGCCACCUACGCGGCCUUCACCGACGUCCUGAGCGCGCUCCACACGGUGUUCGACGCCAAAAGGCUGAUAAGGCUGCACGUUCUCCGAAGCGACUGUGCAGACGGAGAAAAAACGCUGGCUCUUCGGGUGGUGAGCGACGGCGGUAAACCCAAAGUGCAAGUGCUCUAGGGCCGGCGAGGUAGUGGCGUUCAUGGUGCCAGCUACUUCAACGACUCGUAGCUCCAGGAGACCAAAGACGGGGUGGGUGGAGAGUCAUCCUGGGACUCAACGUGCUUAGGAUCAUUAAAGAGCCUACCGCAGCCACCAUCGCCCACGGGCUGGACCAGCCGGGUGCUGGAGAGAACAACGUGCACAGAUGGUUUGGUUCCUUUUCUUCUCAUAAGCGGAAGAAUUUGAGGCGAACACAUUGUGAGAGUACAGUGCUGCGAAGAUUGUGCUAGAAAAGGACAAGUCAAAACUCAAGAAGCAGAGGAGAGGAUUCCUGUGGUGUUUGAGGCCAGCCUAGUCUACCAACAAGUUCUAGGCCAGCCACAAGUAUAGAGUGAGAUCGUGUUUAUAAAUAAAUAAAUAAUGAAUAAAUAAAUAAAUAAAUAAAUAAAA
Apodemus sylvaticus (European woodmouse) is the source of this 1194-nucleotide long non-coding RNA. RefSeq lists it as uncharacterized. The record is from RefSeq and is a predicted model, not a curated record. The transcript has 3 exons. NCBI's taxonomy places the organism in Eukaryota, Metazoa, Chordata, Mammalia, Rodentia, Muridae.